GAUUAACGCUAGCGGCAGGCAUAAUACAUGCAAGUUGAACGGGAUUAGUUGUAGCAAUAUGACUAUGAGAGUAGCGCACGGGUGCGUAACGCGUAUGCAACCUGCCUUCAUCUGGGGAAUAGCCCCUCGAAAGAGGGAUUAAUACCGCAUAACAUAGUGAGUAGGCAUCUACUUACUAUUAAAACUACGGUGGAUGAAGAUGGGCAUGCGUGACAUUAGCUAGUUGGUAGGGUAAUGGCCUACCAAGGCUACGAUGUCUAGGGGGUCUGAGAGGAUGUCCCCCCACACUGGUACUGAGAUACGGACCAGACUCCUACGGGAGGCAGCAGUAGGGAAUAUUGGUCAAUGGGCGCAAGCCUGAACCAGCCAUGCCGCGUGCAGGAUGACGGCCCUAUGGGUUGUAAACUGCUUUUGUACGGGAAGAAACCUCAUUACGUGUAAUGAGUUGACGGUACCGUGAGAAUAAGGAUCGGCUAACUUCGUGCCAGGCA
This 491-nucleotide ribosomal RNA is filed under the name uncultured bacterium. RNAcentral's name for it is "bacterial SSU rRNA". It matches the Rfam family "Bacterial small subunit ribosomal RNA", at positions 28 to 514 of the family's 1533-position model. The record is from RNAcentral.